AGGCUGGGUGAAGCAUACCACACCACUAUCUCCUUGUGUGACCUUUUUCUGUUUUCAUCUGGUCUGAGCAAGCACCUAGGCUAUUCUUGGAGUAUCACAUUCAUAGUUGUAGAAUUCAGCAAUAUUAGACUAAUGCCUGUGUAAAGGGGUUUGAAAAUGACAUAGCUUGAAGAGGAAGAUGCUCCAUUUAUACUAUCCACUAGCAGUUCAUGCAAACUGGUUGCAUAUCUGCACAUCCUAAACCAUGAGGAUAAGGACUGAUCUUCACAAUUGUUUAAAAAGGUUUACAACCACUUUCACUGAAAUAAAUGUACUGGAAAAAACAGAAUCGGGAAAUGGUGCAAAGGCUAUAACAUUUGCAUAAAGAAACCAUUAUGAAGGUACCAGAGGUAACCUGGAAAUACAGAACAACAUAAAUGUUAGAAAAAAGCACCCAGAAAUUAAAAAUUUCUGAUGUCUUCGGAUUAAUAGAAAAGGGUUGGCAUCUUUUAUGGUGACAUUAAGCCAAAGUGUCUAUCAGGACACAACAUUUCAAGGACUGCCCUCAUAAUCCAGUAAUGGAGCCGAAAGCUCCAUUGCACAAAUGCUUGACAAAUACUUGUUAUUUUCUGGAGAACUCAAAGCUGUGUCUCAUCCUGAGCCCUUGGAAUAUUCCAGCAAAGUUUUUCAAGUGGAUGCUGUCAGCACUAACCAAGAAGGCA
Neopsephotus bourkii (Bourke's parrot) is the source of this 701-nucleotide long non-coding RNA. RefSeq lists it as uncharacterized. Lineage: Eukaryota; Metazoa; Chordata; Aves; Psittaciformes; Psittacidae. The transcript is spliced from 4 exons. The record is from RefSeq and is a predicted model, not a curated record.